Molecule: ribosomal RNA, 253 nt
Filed under: uncultured bacterium
Lineage: Bacteria
Description: partial 16S ribosomal RNA
Rfam family: Bacterial small subunit ribosomal RNA
Source: RNAcentral
UACGAAGGGGGCUAGCGUUGCUCGGAAUCACUGGGCGUAAAGCGCACGUAGGCGGAUCGUUAAGUCGGGGGUGAAAUCCUGGAGCUCAACUCCAGAACUGCCUUCGAUACUGGAGAGCUCGAGUCCGGGAGAGGUGAGUGGAACUGCGAGUGUAGAGGUGAAAUUCGUAGAUAUUCGCAAGAACACCAGUGGCGAAGGCGGCUCACUGGCCCGGUACUGACGCUGAGGUGCGAAAGCGUGGGGAGCAAACAGG